This 433-nucleotide ribosomal RNA is filed under the name uncultured bacterium. Its description in RNAcentral is "partial 16S ribosomal RNA". It matches the Rfam family "Bacterial small subunit ribosomal RNA", at positions 29 to 507 of the family's 1533-position model. The record is from RNAcentral.
AACGAACGCUGGCGGCAUGCCUAACACAUGCAAGUCGAACGAGACCUUCGGGUCUAGUGGCGCACGGGUGCGUAACGCGUGGGAACCUGCCCUUAGGUUCGGAAUAACUCCCCGAAAGGGGUGCUAGUACCGGAUAAUGUCUUCGGACCAAAGAUUUAUCGCCUUUGGAUGGGCCCGCGUUGGAUUAGCUAGUUGGUAGGGUAAAAGCCUACCAAGGCGACGAUCCAUAGCUGGUCUGAGAGGAUGAUCAGCCACACUGGGACUGAGACACGGCCCAGACUCCUACGGGAAGCAGCAGUGGGGAAUAUUGGACAAUGGGCGAAAGACUGAUCCAGCAAUGCCGCGUGAGUGAUGAAGGCCUUAGGGUUGUAAAGCUCUUUUACCCGGGAUGAUAAUGACAGUACCGGGAGAAUAAGCUCCGGCUAACUCCGUG